CACGUGGGAACGUGCCCUUCGGUUCGGAAUAACUCAGGGAAACUUGAGCUAAUACCGGAUACGCCCUUUUGGGGAAAGGUUUACUGCCGAAGGAUCGGCCCGCGUCUGAUUAGCUUGUUGGUGGGGUAACGGCCUACCAAGGCGACGAUCAGUAGCUGGUCUGAGAGGAUGAUCAGCCACACUGGGACUGAGACACGGCCCAGACUCCUACGGGAGGCAGCAGUGGGGAAUAUUGGACAAUGGGCGCAAGCCUGAUCCAGCCAUGCCGCGUGAGUGAUGAAGGCCUUAGGGUUGUAAAGCUCUUUUGUCCGGGACGAUAAUGACGGUACCGGAAGAAUAAGCCCCGGCUAACUUCGUGCCAGCA
This 364-nucleotide ribosomal RNA is filed under the name Methylorubrum aminovorans. Its description in RNAcentral is "bacterial SSU rRNA". It matches the Rfam family "Bacterial small subunit ribosomal RNA", at positions 114 to 513 of the family's 1533-position model. Lineage: Bacteria; Pseudomonadati; Pseudomonadota; Alphaproteobacteria; Hyphomicrobiales; Methylobacteriaceae. The record is from RNAcentral.